GAUGAACGCUAGCGGCAGGCUUAAUACAUGCAAGUCGAGGGGCAGCAGUUUUGUAGCAAUACAGAAGCUGGCGACCGGCAAACGGGUGCGGAACACGUACGCAACCUUCCUUUAACUGGGAGAUAGCCCACCGAAAGGUGGAUUAAUAUCCCAUAAUAUAACUGAAUGGCAUCAUUUAGAUAUUAAAGCUCCGGCGGUUAAAGAUGGGCGUGCGUCUGAUUAGGUAGUUGGCGGGGUAACGGCCCACCAAGCCUUCGAUCAGUAGCUGAUGUGAUAGCAUGAUCAGCCACACGGGCACUGAGACACGGGCCCGACUCCUACGGGAGGCAGCAGUAAGGAAUAUUGGUCAAUGGACGCAAGUCUGAACCAGCCAUGCCGCGUGGAGGAUGAAGGCCCUCUGGGUUGUAAACUUCUUUUCUUUGGGACGAAACCCCUGUUUCUACGGGGACUGACGGUACCAGAGGAAUAAGCACCGGCUAACUCCGUGCCAGCAGCCGCAGUAA
This 503-nucleotide ribosomal RNA is filed under the name uncultured bacterium. RNAcentral describes it as "partial 16S ribosomal RNA". It matches the Rfam family "Bacterial small subunit ribosomal RNA", at positions 28 to 523 of the family's 1533-position model. The record is from RNAcentral.